Molecule: transfer RNA, 85 nt
Filed under: Felis catus (domestic cat)
Lineage: Eukaryota; Metazoa; Chordata; Mammalia; Carnivora; Felidae
Rfam family: tRNA
About the family: Transfer RNA (tRNA) molecules are approximately 80 nucleotides in length.
Source: Rfam by way of RNAcentral
GCCUGGGUGGCUCAGUUGGUUGAGCAUCUGACUUUGGCUCAGGUCAUGAGCUCGUGGUUCAUGAGUUCGAGCCCCACAUCGGGCU